GCCAGAGUGAUGCAGCUCGUCGCCGAUGUGGGUGACCGGGAGCCUGUGGAUCACCUGGGAGUAUGUAGGAGAGCUGGGAUCCAAAUCCACCGUCGCAAGGUAAUCCGGCUUGUUAAUUCCAGUGCCUGCAUAAUUCAUGUGUAGCCCACUGCACCCAUGAAUACAAAAUUCACAACAAGGCGAACAUCUAAUCUCUGCAGUGUUCACAUGGUUUGUGUGCAGGCGUUCCCCGGAGUAGAAAGUAGAAACCAUGUGAACCCCUGUAAAGUCUUAAACUAUGGAAACAGAAAGUAUCAUCUCAUCUGUAAACGACAUGGAGAAAGGCCUAUUUAAUCGAGUUCCAAAACCAUUGGGGAUCCAUGCGGGAACAAUUCUUGUCCGGUGCAGCCUCGGCUAAAUUAUAUAAAAGGGUCGCUUUCCAAUUUCACCCCACCUAUCCUGUACUAAAUAAACGUUACGAAUUGAAUUGCUCGCUGAUGAGCUCCUGACUAAUCAUCCAAGAUCUACGCGCACGUCCCCAUAUGUCCGCAGCAGGAUCCUCCUGGCUACAGUCCUACAGGCAUGGUGAGGCAGAGGAAGCACGC
RNAcentral lists this long non-coding RNA (584 nucleotides) under Zea mays. RNAcentral's name for it is "long non-coding RNA (ZMAY_LNC001885)". Lineage: Eukaryota; Viridiplantae; Streptophyta; Magnoliopsida; Poales; Poaceae. The record is from RNAcentral.